RNAcentral lists this ribosomal RNA (497 nucleotides) under uncultured bacterium. Its description in RNAcentral is "partial 16S ribosomal RNA". It matches the Rfam family "Bacterial small subunit ribosomal RNA", at positions 28 to 507 of the family's 1533-position model. The record is from RNAcentral.
GACGAACGCUGGCGGCGUGCCUAAUACAUGCAAGUAGAACGCUGAAGAGAGGAGCUUGCUCUUCUUGGAUGAGUUGCGAACGGGUGAGUAACGCGUAGGUAACCUGCCUGGUAGCGGGGGAUAACUAUUGGAAACGAUAGCUAAUACCGCAUAAAAUGGAUUAUCGCAUGAUAAUCCAUUGAAAGGUGCAAAUGCAUCACUACCAGAUGGACCUGCGUUGUAUUAGCUAGUUGGUGGGGUAACGGCUCACCAAGGCGACGAUACAUAGCCGACCUGAGAGGGUGAUCGGCCACACUGGGACUGAGACACGGCCCAGACUCCUACGGGAGGCAGCAGUAGGGAAUCUUCGGCAAUGGACGGAAGUCUGACCGAGCAACGCCGCGUGAGUGAAGAAGGUUUUCGGAUCGGAAAGCUCUGUUGUAAGAGAAGAACGAGUGUGAGAGUGGAAAGUUCACACUGUGACGGUAUCUUACCAGAAAGGGACGGCUAACUACGUG